AGAAUAAUUGGGUAAUAUAGUUUAUUGGACUGAAAAUCCUUGUGUCGCUGGUUCGAUUCCGGCCCGGGCCA
This 71-nucleotide transfer RNA is filed under the name Fidelibacterota bacterium. Its description in RNAcentral is "tRNA-Phe". Lineage: Bacteria; Pseudomonadati; Fidelibacterota. The record is from RNAcentral.